UUUCCGUAGGUGAACCUGCGGAAGGAUCAUUCAUAAUAAAGUGUUUUAUGGCACUUUUUAAAAAUCCAUACCCACCUUGUGUGCAAUGUUAGAUCUGGUCAAUCUUGGCGAGAUUUUUAUACAUCAACUCAUUUUUUAACUAAUUUGUCUGAAAAAUAUUAUGAAUACUUAAUUCAAAAUACAACUUUCAACAACGGAUCUCUUGGCUCUC
This 211-nucleotide unclassified non-coding RNA is filed under the name plant metagenome. RNAcentral describes it as "partial contains small subunit ribosomal RNA, internal transcribed spacer 1, and 5.8S ribosomal RNA". The record is from RNAcentral.